Pygocentrus nattereri (red-bellied piranha) is the source of this 170-nucleotide small nuclear RNA. Its record names the gene U1. It matches the Rfam family "U1 spliceosomal RNA". From Rfam's summary of the family: U1 is a small nuclear RNA (snRNA) component of the spliceosome (involved in pre-mRNA splicing). Its 5' end forms complementary base pairs with the 5' splice junction, thus defining the 5' donor site of an intron. NCBI's taxonomy places the organism in Eukaryota, Metazoa, Chordata, Actinopteri, Characiformes, Serrasalmidae. The record is from Ensembl.
AUACUUACCUGGCAGGGGAGAUACCAUGAUCAAGAAGGUGGUUCACCCAGGGUGAGGCUCAGCCAUUGCACUCCGGUUGUGCUGACCCCUGCGAAUGGGGGUGUGCCGAAAAGUAGUGUAAAUCGCGCGACCCGUGAUAGGGUGAUUUUCUACGUUAGCUUGGAGGCGUU